Molecule: long non-coding RNA, 1078 nt
Filed under: Apteryx owenii (little spotted kiwi)
Lineage: Eukaryota; Metazoa; Chordata; Aves; Apterygiformes; Apterygidae
Description: lncRNA (ENSAOWG00000016354.1)
Source: RNAcentral
CUGAGUGAGGUUCAGCCAUGUCAUAUCAAGGAAGAUGAUGCCUGUACUGACCUCACUGGGCCUUCAGCAACAGGAAUGAGCAAACUCUUCACAGUAUGAGAGUACGGAAGCAGAACGAUGACCUAGGAAAGAGGAACCCGCUGAGGUUGUCCCGUCCUCCUCCCGUGUCCUGCCACCACUUCACCUUCCUCCUUGGUGCAGACCACUCCGUGCUCCUACGACCGGGAACGGUGGCUAGCCCUCACACUAGGAGAUCUCAGGGACGCUUAAAGAGGAUGAGCAAGAAAGCACAAGAUCAAAGGCAAGAAGGUCUGAAAUCAAGGGCACGAGAAGUAGGAGGACAAAGAAAGGCUGACAAAGCUGCUGUAAAAGAAUGAGAGCAUAUUUCUGUAUUAUAGCAGGCAUCAAGUAGCAUCUGCUAUAGUUAUGGUGACACGAGUAGCCUUCGUUCCACUCCUUGCUUUUCACACACUAGUAACUUGGACAAAUGCACUGCAUAUGUGGACACAGGUAGUCAUCUGUACCUUUCAAAAGUGUCCCGCCAACUCUGAAUUUUAAUUACUUUUAACUUCUACAUUAAUUUUCUCCCAACCUGGCUGCUUUUUCAGAGCAAACAACGAACCAAAUAUGAGCGCCAGUUUUAAGAAAAACAGGUUUAAAGCAAGAAAUCCUUUUAAAAUGGCAAAUCUUAACUCAUGCUUACUAGAACAUACAGGAUUAUAUGCACAAGGAAGAAAACACUUAGGUAAGUCAGUAACAGCACUGAAGAUCUAGGAAGGAUUUCUCUGCCAUAGUUUAAUGGAGAUCAUAAGAGAUAGAAUGAGUCAAACCAUACCUGAAAACUAAUUGACCAUUAUCUCAGUGUGAUGAUCAUUAACAUGAAGAUUUUCUGAAGUUCAGGUUACAGAAGCAGUUAUUUUUUACCAACUGACCAAAGUGUAAUAGAACUGUACUUAAAACUAUCAGUGGGAAGGUGCAAUAAUCAACGUUUGCCUCUUUUGGCAGAGUAUAAAGAACAGAAAAAGGAAUUGUACCUUACCCAAAAAUAAAACCCAUUACUCAGGAGUUUUCUAUGUCA